AUUGAACGCUGGCGGCAGGCCUAACACAUGCAAGUCGAGCGGAUGAAGGGAGCUUGCUCCUGGAUUCAGCGGCGGACGGGUGAGUAAUGCCUAGGAAUCUGCCUGGUAGUGGGGGAUAACGUCCGGAAACGGGCGCUAAUACCGCAUACGUCCUGAGGGAGAAAGUGGGGGAUCUUCGGACCUCACGCUAUCAGAUGAGCCUAGGUCGGAUUAGCUAGUUGGUGGGGUAAAGGCCUACCAAGGCGACGAUCCGUAACUGGUCUGAGAGGAUGAGCAGUCACACUGGAACUGAGACACGGUCCAGACUCCUACGGGAGGCAGCAGUGGGGAAUAUUGGACGAUGGGCGAAAGCCUGAUCCAGCCAUGCCGCGUGUGUGAAGAAGGUCUUCGGAUUGUAAAGCACUUUAAGUUGGGAGGAAGGGCAGUAAGUUAAUACCUUGCUGUUUUGACGUUACCAACAGAAUAAGCACCGGCUAACUUCGUG
Molecule: ribosomal RNA, 484 nt
Filed under: uncultured bacterium
Lineage: Bacteria
Description: partial 16S ribosomal RNA
Rfam family: Bacterial small subunit ribosomal RNA
Source: RNAcentral